CUGAUUCCAACCAGUUGCAGGUUUCAAAUGUGCUUUCUGUGAGAAAGUCAAGAAGGUGCCACUCCCAGCCAAGGAUAAUCCUAAUCCCUGACUUCAGCUUCUUGCUAUCUACACCAUCUGUAAAGGUUACCUAUCCUUAGACAUGUUAGAAACCAUAUCAGUAACCAUAUGAUAUUUAAAAUCUUGAGAUCAAUUGUGUCGAGUAAAACAAAUUAAAUCAUGCCAGAUAAAAAUUAUGAAUUUUUCCAUAAAAGCAUCAUCUUCAGGAAGGACCUCAGGAGGGUGUUCUGCCAUCAUCACGUUAUGAAAAGCAUUUGAAAGAAAUGCUGACUGUUGUUGUUGACAAGGAGGAGGGGAUCCUUCCUGAGGAUGGUAUAACUUCGCGGGAGCCCUCCCAGAAAGACUCCUGUGUUAUCUCCAAUAACAGUACUACCAUUCAGGAUGGCAGAGGAACCUAGAGAAGAGGAGAUGAGAAAUACACCUUCACCAGGAUACUCUAGUUUUACUAGCUCAGCAAAUAAUAAAAUCCUUCACCAGCCUUUGGGAUACC
Molecule: long non-coding RNA, 550 nt
Filed under: Homo sapiens (human)
Lineage: Eukaryota; Metazoa; Chordata; Mammalia; Primates; Hominidae
Description: HSALNT0298223
Source: RNAcentral